AAGCCCGAUAAGCUAUCUUCAGAUAAAUUCAUUUAGUUUAAAAACAUAUUGACUUCUAGUAAAACGCAAAAUAUAGUGUUAAAAAUAUAUUUAAAUAUAACAAGGAUCUCCUAAAUCUGAUCUUCGUAUAAUCUAAAUCAAUUUAGGUUCGGAUAGAUUCGUGUUACCUACACCAGCUGUCCCGACUACAUUCAUCUUAGUAUCCACUUAAGAAUAUACAAUUUAUCUACAAAGCUUGCAAUUAAAUUUCAUCCUAGCAUUCGUAGAUUAUAAACAGAUAUGCCGCCUCGUCAGGACCUGAUCAUCCAACCGAGCCGGUUCCAGGUGGAGCAGACCCGCAUACCCCCUCCCCCACCCCCCGGUCGUCUUCAGAGGCCCCCCCACGAUCACCCCUCCACUUACAUCGCCUCGCAAACAAGACGGAAUACUGCCGCUGCUACACGAACCAACUAGAGGUUUUUACAUCGAAUCUGUCAGUCUGUAUUAAACAUGAAAUUAAAAUGAUGAUAAAACAGCAAGAAUAGUGAACGUAUUGUUAUGGAAAUCUAGAUUUUAUAAUUGCUUCAACUACUUAUAGAUAGAAAUGAAUGAUUGAUACAAUUAGGUUCGUAUUAACGGCUACAGUUGAAUUGAAAUACAUGUAUGUAUAUAGGAACAUCUCUGUCUUUGGAUUUCUGUCUUUUUUAAUCAUAUUUGCGGAUUCCAACCGUAUUAUAUAAAUUAUGAAGUGAUAGGUAUUUGUACAUAAGUCAUUUUAAGUAAGUCUAGAAUAUGUGUAGAUUAAUAUUUAAAUAAAGAUAAAUUAUAAUAAAUAUAAAUUUAAAGUUUCCAUUGGUUUUCAUGUCUUUUAAAAAAAAUAGUAUAACAAUCUAAAACUCAUGAAUUUGAAGUUCUGUUAAUAGCAAAAAAGGAGUAAUUACUAAAGGUAAUUACAAAAAUUUGCAUCAGUUAUGCUGCCAGUGAUGAUUUCAGUAUUAUUGAAACCAGAAUGUUUUGUUUUUAUAAUUAAUUUAAUAUAUAGUUCCAUCUGUUGAGAUUAUAAUAGUAUCUGAGUAAAAAUCUGGGAGGCAAAUUGGUACAAUGAAAUUCUUAAGGAUUUGGAAAAGGGCAACGACUGUUAUCGGUAGGCAUAAUGUAUGAGGGGAAAAUGAGUUCAUAUUGGAGAAGGCUUGGCUUAGCAACCAACUACAUAAUGGCAACAUCUUUUUUGUCUGUGGUGAAUGCAGCAUAUUUUAAAUACAUAAAUUUAUAUCUAAAAUAUUAAUAAAUUAUGUACAUGUAAUCGAUUUCAAAAAUAUACAGAUUUUGUAGCAAAAAUAAUAAUGCCCUAAUUUAAAUAUGUACACAAAGAAAUUCGAGCUGAACUUGUACAAAGGAUACUAUUUUCUAGAAAUUUUAACCGAUAGCUAUUAUGAAAAUAAUUAUAAAGAUAUUAAAUAAUUGUAUUUAAAAUUUUGGUAAAAUAAAUACCUAUUACAGUCAAUUUAAUUAUAUUCAUAUGUGACUAUAGAUAGAUGACACAGGUUAAAUUAAAUAAUAGUCUUAUGUGGAUUUCUGGUACAUGAUAAUCAUAAAAUAAAAAAAUAAUUUAU
Pieris rapae (cabbage white) is the source of this 1592-nucleotide long non-coding RNA. RefSeq lists it as uncharacterized. The record is from RefSeq and is a predicted model, not a curated record. Lineage: Eukaryota; Metazoa; Arthropoda; Insecta; Lepidoptera; Pieridae. The transcript has 3 exons.